GAUGAACGCUGGCGGCGUGCCUAAUACAUGCAAGUCGAGCGGUAACACUUCGGGUGACGAGCGGCGGACGGCUGAGUAACGCGUAGGAACAUACCCCAAACUGAGGGAUAAGCAUCGGAAACGGUGUCUAAUACCGCAUGUGGUCUUCGGAUUAAAGCUUCGGCGGUUUGGGAAUGGCCUGCGUCCGAUUAGCUUGUUGGUGAGGCAAAAGCUCACCAAGGCGACGAUCGGUAGCUGGUCUGAGAGGAUGAUCAGCCAGACUGGGACUGAGACACGGCCCAGAUUCCUACGGGAGGCAGCAGUAGGGAAUUUUCCACAAUGGGCGAAAGCCUGAUGGAGCAACGCCGCGUGCAGGAUGAAGGCCUUCGGGUUGUAAACUGCUUUUAUCUGUGAAGAUUAUGACGGUAGCAGAUGAAUAAGGAUCGGCUAACUCCGUGCCAGCCGCCGCCGUAA
RNAcentral lists this ribosomal RNA (453 nucleotides) under uncultured bacterium. RNAcentral describes it as "partial 16S ribosomal RNA". It matches the Rfam family "Bacterial small subunit ribosomal RNA", at positions 28 to 523 of the family's 1533-position model. The record is from RNAcentral.